This is a long non-coding RNA of Apis mellifera (honey bee), 1933 nucleotides long. RefSeq lists it as uncharacterized. The transcript is spliced from 2 exons. NCBI's taxonomy places the organism in Eukaryota, Metazoa, Arthropoda, Insecta, Hymenoptera, Apidae. The record is from RefSeq and is a predicted model, not a curated record.
UCAAAUCGAAUACUGAAAUUCCACGUGUCUUCGAGAGUGUGUCAAGCGGGAAAAAGUGCCCACAUAUUCUGUGUAUUUGCGUUAAUGUGUUUUACAGCAUCGGUGCGAAAUUCGGAUUUUUCCAUCUUUAAAUUCUAUUUAAAUAUAAGAUAAAUCGUGUUCGUAAUUUGGACGUGAAUUAUCUUUACCGACGAACAUCUAAUAAACCGAAUACGAUUCUACUACCUAACCUAUACAUUUAUAUUAUCGAUGUUUGUAACGUUAUCACCAUCGUAACGAGUAUUUUCUAUUCUAACGAAAUAGAAAUUUUAAAAGAAAAUAAAAAUUUUACUUUAGGAAAAGAAACUAAAUCGUUAUGUAAUAACAUUCUAAAAUAUUCUCGAAUUUCCUUAUUCGGUUUUAUUUUCGAUUUGUUUUCCUGACAUGGCUCAUAUAUUAUAGUCACGGAAAUAGAACGAAAAAAAGUUGCCACUUCUCCACAAAACGAUUAUACCUUUAUUCCGAGCUAUUUAUGGUCUCGGAAAAAAAAAUUCCCGUAUAAUUGAGCGUAACAAUAUGUUUUCUCGUUUCCUGUAAAAUAUUUUCUCCGAUGGCUACCCUAUUUUUACGCCACGGCAUGUUGGUAUUAUUGUGACACGUAAAUUCGUAUCUACAACAGUGUGUCUAAAGAGUGUCCACGUGGACAUUUCUUUCGGCCGACCUUUAUCGUGUGCCUCUUUCGGGUGAAUCACUACUAUAAUAUUACAGUUCGGUGAUCCAUAUUUUCGCAUCUAUUUACUCGUGAUUUUUAAAAAAAUUACCAAUCUGUUUGUCUUUCCUAGUUUAAUGAUUCAUCGUUCUAAUAUUACGCGUAUUUGAAAUAAUUUUUAAAAUAAAAAAUUUUUUCCACUAUAAAAAUUAUUUCUCCUAGAGAAGAUUGAGAAUUUUUAACGAUACGUAAUCAUUCUAAAUGUAAUACUUCAAUUGAUGAGAAAUAUUUUAUUUUUUACAAUGAAUUUUAUUUCGAAACAAUGGACAUACUAAAUUACUACUACCAUGCGACAAAUGUUCUAGCAUAUCGUUGCGGGCAUAUCGCGGACAGGCAACUGAAUUAAUUACAACGCUCGAGACGCUUCCCGGCGAAGUUAAAUAAGCGUUAACGUUGAAUUUUCAUUUCCCGCCAUGUUGACGCCGAAACCAGCCGAAUUUCAGGGACGAUCGCAAAGCUGUGCCACGUGCGAUAUCAAGGCUAUGUUUCAACAAUAGGAAAAAAUGAAAGUACUACGAUAGUUGCACAACGUUGAAUCAGGAAGUUGGAUCAGAAAUGAAGAGAAGCAUAUUAUUUAUAUAAAAAACGAAAAACAAGUCGACAAAAUAGUUCAACUUGUAAACUUGUAUACUUGUAUACUACCACUAAUGUGAAGAUAUUUUACGAAAUGAAUCAGCUAUUACGAAAGUUUCAACUUUGAUAAAACUAAAUAUGACACGCUCAACAGCCACAAAUUUCCGUUUUAAAAUCUAAAUUUCUUAGAAAUAAAUAGAAAUCUAAAUCUUUCGUACCCAUGGUCAACAAGUUUAUAGGAAGAAUUAAACUAAUUUCAUACUUGUCACGCACGAAAUGAAGUAUGUAUACCGGAAGUCAAUGUUCUAAGCUUAGUUAGUCAAUCGGAUUACAAUAUACGAAAGCAGAGACAUAGGAAGGCCAUGAAAAAAAAUAUAUUUACAAUGAACAAAAUAUUUAGAGGGAGAAAGAUCACGGAAACGGUAAGAAUAUAACGUAAAUCGCAUGAUCUAGAAGAGGCUUAUGGAAAAAUUAAGUAUUACGUAAUUUAAUUAUACAUUGAACAUGAUUUUAAAACCUUAUGUAACAACAACAGAGAAUGAAAUAAAUGAAAACUUUCCCGCAUCGUAUAAUAAAUUGCACAAAAGAUAGUACCUAUGUUAAAACCGUUAA